GCGGCAGCCGUUUUUUGCGCGGCAAACCUCGAGGCGCGAACAAGCAUCGCCAUUCCGCCCUGCUGCUGCAGCCGCGGACGACGGUGGUAGCCCGUCGUCGCCGCGCUGUCUCCUUUCGCCGUCAAACUGCAGCAAGCAACCACCGGCGAAGCGCGUGCCGGAAGUGACGUGCACAGUGUAGCAGGGCAAGAAAACAAGGCGUUGACAUCACGUCCGCUCGUGCAGCCUUUUUGCCCGGAAGUUCCAAUUCUCUCUCCCCGUGGCUGAGACUUCAACCUCGUUCCUCGUAGGCCGCUACUGUCAGCACUGGAUUAAGUUUUAAUACUUAAGUGUCUUGUCUCCGGCCUGUCUUGAUAUGUGCGUUCGCCAGAAGCAAGCACGCUCGGGAAGCAAUCAACUGCGUGCACUGUCGACAUUCGGAAUCAUCAACUGCUGUGAAAUUGCGAGGAAGACGGCGCUGGGAACCCUGUUGUCGCACAUGGGUGCGCACCCCGAGGAUUAUGCCAGCGCAGUCUGAAGCAUCUCCUCCUCUUCGCCUGCACGGGAUCCUGUUCCCGUCCUGGCCAGCGACACGUUUGUGGCGUGACAGCGGACGACGCUCCAGUUUCGACCCGCGGCCCUCUCGCCUCGCACGCCGGGAACAAAUCAGGCGGAGGGCGCGAACCUUCGUCGGCGGACCCGAGGCGGCAAGCGGGCCCUUGGAGGAGGAGAGCGGCAGCCCGCGGAUCGCGCGGCGGGGACCUCUGCGGCCGGCGGCACACCGAGCAGCAGCGGCGGCGUGGCCGGCCCCCGGUAGCCGGGCGGCGGCCAUGCCCGUGACGCCCUGCGGCGGCAGCAGCAGCGAGCGGUCCUGCUGCCGGCUGCUGCGGCAGCAGCGACGACGACGAGACGAGGCGGCACAGGGGCCCGUGCGGCGGCCAUGAGCAACGGCAGCAGUACGGCUAACCUGAGCUGGCUUGACGGCGUGGCGGCGCUGAACGCGACGCUCGACGGCAAUGACUCGGCGGCGGCAGACGACGAGGGCGGCGGGUGGCCUCUGGUGCCCGACGACCCGUGGGACGGGUCGCCCUACCCGAGCCGCUACUCCAAGCUGAGCUUUGUGGUGACCGCGUUCGUGGUCACCUGCAUCAUGAUCCUCAUCGUUGUGGGCAACAUGCUGGUGUGCAUCGCGAUCGCCACCGAGAAGACGCUCAAGACGAUCCAGAACUGGUUCAUCGCCUCCCUGGCAGUGUCCGACUUCCUCAUCGGGCUCAUCAUCAUGCCCUUCUCGCUCGCCAAGGAGCUGAUGGGCUACUGGAUCUUCGGCACGCUCUGGUGCGACGUGCACGCCGCACUGGACGUGCUCAUCUGCACCGCCUCCAUCAACAACCUGUGCCUCAUCAGCCUGGACCGAUACUGGUCAGUCACGCACGCCGUCGAGUACCUCAAGAAGCGCACCGCCUCGCGAGCCAUGGCCAUGAUAUGUUUCGUGUGGCUCCUGUCGGCGCUCAUCUCGCUGCCUCCGCUCGUCGGCUGGAAGAAGUCCCAGCAGGCCUCCGACUACCCCCAGUGUUCCGUGUCCGAGGACGUCGGUUAUGUGUUGUACUCGGCCCUCGGGUCGUUCUAUGUUCCCGCGGUCGUCAUGGUGUUUGUGUACAUCAGGAUAUUCCUGGCGGCCCGCUCGCGCGCGCGCCGGCACGUCAAGAAGCAGGCCCGGCACGUACCAGAGCUCACGAACGAUCCGGUGCGCGACAAGUCGACGACGACCACGACGACGACGUGCACCAGCUUCAGCAACCCGAGCCCGCCGGACUCCUCGGCGGCGGCGCACAAGAUGAACGGCGGCGGCGGUGGCGGUGGCGGUGGCGGCGGCGGGGCGCAGCGCAGGGGCAUCCUGCCCAGCGCCGCGCCGCAGAUCAUCAUCGAGACUCCCGAAGAACCGAGCUCGGCGCCGCCGUCGCCCCCGUUGCCGUCCCGCCGCCAGGAGGGCCUCGGCGGGCUCAGGGCCCCGGAGGUCGGCCUCCGCGCCGACGACUCCGAGGCGGCGCCGCUGCAGGGCUCGCACGACGCGCCGGGCUUGCUGAGCGCGCCGCAGACGCGGAUCGCGCGCUCCCCUUACGGCUCCACGCUGUCGCUCAAUGAGCGCGACGAGGACAGCGAGCUGUGCGAGUCUUCCAACGCGGCGGGAGGAGAAUCCUCGGGCGGCAGCGGCGGCGGCACCACCGGCAAGCGGGGCGGCCGCCCCACACCGACCUCCAAGCGGCGGCCGGCGCCCCCGCAGGGACUGACGUACGCAGUGGCGCGCCACACCCCGUCAGACGCCGAGCGCCACAAGCGCAAGCUGGCCAAGGCCCGCGAGCGCCGCGCCACCAUGAUCCUGGGCCUGAUCAUGGCUGCUUUCAUCCUGGCCUGGCUGCCCUUCUUCGUCCUCUACGUGCUGGGCGCGCUCUGCAAGCGCUGUGACAUCAGCGGCACGGUGUUUGCGGUCGCCUUUUGGCUCGGCUACUGUAACUCGGCCGUCAACCCAAUCAUCUACACCAUCUUCAACCGAGACUUCCGCAAGGCCUUCCGCAAAAUCCUCUUCAAGUGAUCCUGCGCCGCCGCUGCCGCCAUCCGGCCCGGCGCUGCUGUCUUCCACGGCGCCGCCUGGCCCGCCACUGCCGCCGGCGCGGCGCAGCCUCGCCCGUCGAAGGAUCCCCGCCGCCGCCGCUGAAAACCCCGCUCUGCCCGCCGCUCCUAAUCCUCGUUGUUUACCAUUGGGAGCCUCCACCACGAACCGAGAGAAGGCGCUCCGUGCGUGUGAAGCGCCCGCUCGCCAAACGGAGUCCGCCUUCCGCGCGCGCCCAGGGACCUGUCCACGCCGUCUGUGGCCUGUGCGUCUCGCGCAUCGACAGUCCAGCCGCGACGCCACCACCGCGCGCACACGCACACGCGGCGUGAAACACCGAGUGCUGCUGUGCCGUGCUGUGCUCCGCGCUGCGCACACAUGCCACGACCGCACAACUGUGUAUACAUGUUUGUUAACUGCCGUAGCACCGCGCUAUCUUUGCCCUGCACUAACCCCACGCGACCCGCCCUACUUACACAUGCUACGGCGACGACACCACCCCAUUCUACUCGUCGUAUCUACUUUGCUCGGACGGUGGCACUCGGGGCGGGUGCCGUUCCAAGAUUCGAUGAGGAACAAUAUCCGCCGCUAACUCUCGUUCCCGCAGUUCUUUUUUCUUCGUGGAAGUGUCGCGCAUCGGCGCUUCGCAAAGGCCUAGCAACACGCACAAUACACACGCAGACAAAAGAAACACAAAUCGAGUUUCGCAGCUGUUGUUGCUGCCCGUUCGUCAAGUAGCAGGGCCAGGUUCGCUUGUUCAUAGAGCGUACGCCAGCAGCCAGAUGAAACGACGUUGUGUGGACAUGCAAAGCCUGGCAGCAGAAUUUGUUGACUCGAAUCGUUCUUGCGCCACCGGUGUUUAGAGCGCACGACGGUGACCUUGCACAAAUCGGCGCGCAACAUGGUGGCGCGCUGUUGUCGAACCACGCACCUAACAAUGCCGUACGCAACUUAACUGUCCUUUCUGUAGUUAGAGCACAAGUGACAAGGUGGCUUCUUUUCGUCUGGCUGCUGGAGUAUAUAGUGUCGUUUGGUGCCAGUGCUUUUAGGAUCAUGUUCGUUUCAUUGGUUGACGCUUCGUGCUUUUUGAGAUGUUGAAGUGGACCGUACACGAACAGAAACAACCGAAGGACGUUCUCGACACCAGAUGCAAGGCAAGUUUACAUACCAUGCCUAAAAAAUACCGGAAUGCUUUAUGGUGUGCGAACUCGGACAGAAACACACACACACGCCCAAACACACACAUGCAAGCACAGCGCGCGCUCCUAACACACACACACGCACACAAAGACACACACACACACACACACACACACACACACACACACACACACACACACACACACACACACACACACACACACACACACACACACGCAUAUAAUAUAUAACUUACUGAGCGGUCACUGUUUCCCCUGAGCUGAUGCAUAUAUUAUAUAGCAGCCGAGGUGUAUAUACUGCUACUUAAUGCGAUAAAUGUCACGCUGUUCCGAACAUUUAUAAACGCGAUCUUCUAAGAGAGAGCUUCCCGAUGGCGAGAACAUUGCACGCUUUUCUCUUCUUUUUUUUUCUUUUUAUUUUUUUGCAACGGCGUCGUCUACGUUAUUUUCUUUAUCCCCUAUGUGUGGGGUCACUCAAGCGUUCUACUCUCUAUUAAGGCACACUAAAUGCACAAUAAUAAACACCAAAGUUUCACCUUCA
RNAcentral lists this unclassified non-coding RNA (4288 nucleotides) under Dermacentor andersoni. RNAcentral's name for it is "alpha-2Da adrenergic receptor-like". The record is from RNAcentral. Lineage: Eukaryota; Metazoa; Arthropoda; Arachnida; Ixodida; Ixodidae.